This 421-nucleotide non-coding RNA is filed under the name unclassified sequences. RNAcentral describes it as "Giant, ornate, lake- and Lactobacillales-derived (GOLLD) RNA". It matches the Rfam family "Giant, ornate, lake- and Lactobacillales-derived (GOLLD) RNA". The record is from Rfam by way of RNAcentral.
GAAAGGUGAGUGGUAUUUACUUCUUCAAAAGAGAAGCUAUCCACCUCAGAGCUCAUCUUUCAUCACACUCACUAUGUUGAUUUAUUAUGAAAAAAUAAACUACAGAAAAGGAAAAGUCUCUGAGCGGUUAAACUGAAAGUCACCUAAUUCCUUGGGUAGAAAUGCCAACAAGGAAAUUGACAGGACCCCAAGUCCUUCAGUUUUGACUAAGAAAGUCCUAGUACCUGGGCACGGGUUUAGAGAGUCCGCAAGAUUCUAUAGAGGCAAGUAGUAGUUGAGUAAGUUUGACCGAAACGUGUGAUUGUCGUAAACAAUCGGUGAUGACUUGAUACUGAUGGCAACAUUAGUGGAUACGAGAGGAAACCUUAGUCGGGUAUAAUCUCUACAAAAGACAGGUCACUUAAACGAGUAAUCUCAUCGU